GCCAGCCCUCAGAGGUCUAGAAUGAGGUCACUGCAGACACAGGGGACCUGCUUUAUUGCACAAGCUGGGAGUCGCCUCUCCAUCAUCUAAGAGUGGUCAUCCACGUUCCACUUAACCACCCAGUCUUCCUCCUCUUCCUGGGCCUGGCUCUGGGCCAAAUCCAGGACACUCAACAAGGUCCAGGUCUCAGGUCUUCCGUGUCUAUCUCUCCCAGACAUGCAUCUUCGAGGGCAUCAGCUGCCAGUGCCCUUUGCUGUCCCCGAUCUACCCACCGAAGAACUGGAAAUCAGGUGGCAGCCAGUAGACUCAGCAGAAGCCAGGGUUUCCCCACCAAACUAAAAUCUUGCAUCAUUGUUAUUUAUUAGACACAAAUCGGUUUUUCAGUCAUGCUUGACACCUCCACCCCACGGGAAGGCUGCAGAGGUGAGGGGAGGAAGGGGUUUGGGGAGCUGGGUCCGUGUGGGGCCCCAAGCUGAGUGGGUGGCAGACCAGAGCGAGGAAUCUGGGUGAGACACAUUAGAUUCUGCUGCUGCUCCACCACAAGUGAAGGGGCACUGAAUAAGUAACAAUGAGUGAGGCUAGGGACCAGACAGAAUGUGCGAGCUCUGUCCUCACAGCUCUGGGUACCUCACAGCUGGUGGGGGACAGAUCCCCCACCUUGGGCCAAGGACGCUGUCCUCACCUGUGUCCCACCUGUGAGAAAUGGAGCCUACCUGGACCAGCUGCUCCCAGGACCGGCUGGGGAGGGAAGGAGAGGAAACCUCAGGGAUACCCUGGCUCUAGUCUGGCUCUGGGCUUCCAGACCCCCCACUGGCUGGGAAGAUGGGAUGUCCUAGAACUCACUGAUCCCUGGGCGUGUGGACCUUGAAGUGCUAACACAGGGGAGCAUGGAGGGCCCAGGACAGCCGUGGGGAAGGUGGGAUGAAGGUCACCAGGGAUGUCAAGCCAGGGUCAUCCAGAACACUGGGAUACCUGAAAGGCACAUGAUGUUAAGGUCAGCAUCUUGUGAGGACCCCCUGAACCCCUCCCUGGAAACUCACCUCAGCCCUGUCCCAGUUACUCAGCAAACCCUUAUCAACCCUCUGUUCAGGCUCGUGUCACCUGUGACAGAUUCGGUCUCCCCUGCCCAUCCCACAGCUCUGUGUGUGUGUGUGUGUGUGUGUGUGUGUGUGUGUGUGUGUGUGUGUGAUAUCCCUCUGGAAGAAGCCCUGUGUGGGCACGAAAGGGCCCUAGGGGCUGGCACAGCACAGGCAGAG
Molecule: long non-coding RNA, 1256 nt
Organism: Heterocephalus glaber (naked mole-rat)
Lineage: Eukaryota; Metazoa; Chordata; Mammalia; Rodentia; Bathyergidae
Source: Ensembl